GAUGAAGAACGUAGCGAAAUGCGAUAAGUAAUGCGAAUUGCAGAUCUCCGUGAGUCAUUGAAUCUUUGAACGCACAUUGCGCCCUCGGGUAUUCCCGAGGGCAUGCCUGUCCGAGCGUCAUUAUCCAACCAUCAAGCUCGGCUUGCGGUUAGCCCCGCACCGUCCCCGGGACGGUGGGCUCGAAACAUGUUGGGCGCCCGUGAGGUUCUCGGUGCAGCGAGCUCUCGAGCACGUGCCGGGCAACCUCUCUGGGCGUCGGCCAACCCCCCAAUUUCUCAGGUUGACCUCGGAUCAGGUAGGAAUACCCGCUGAACUUAAGCAUAUCAAUAAGCGGAGGA
This 338-nucleotide unclassified non-coding RNA is filed under the name soil metagenome. RNAcentral's name for it is "partial contains 5.8S ribosomal RNA, internal transcribed spacer 2, and large subunit ribosomal RNA". The stretch from base 1 to 120 matches the Rfam family "5.8S ribosomal RNA", at positions 35 to 154 of the family's 154-position model. The record is from RNAcentral.